Molecule: long non-coding RNA, 1236 nt
Organism: Tachysurus fulvidraco (yellow catfish)
Lineage: Eukaryota; Metazoa; Chordata; Actinopteri; Siluriformes; Bagridae
Exons: 3
Source: RefSeq, a predicted model, not a curated record
GGCUUCCCAGGCGGCUGGAACACCAAAUUCCCUCCUCUGAAGCUGUAGAUCUUUCUGUAGUCCCUCCUCUACCGAACCGAUCCUUUAUCACCAUAGCAACGAUACUCCAAAGCCCGUCCGAGAUCUGCUUUAAUCACCGUGUCUGAAGUUCCAGUUCCUCCCAAAGUCCAGGAGAACUUUCAGGACAAUGCAGGCUGUAGGGAACAUGUUUCUGUCGGUGAGCCUGAGACCCAUCUGAAGGCCAACAGCAUCACAGGAAAAUACGGAAUGUGGUUCCAGGACCCAGAGUCUCCAGGAGCUCCGUAUGGGCCAGACACGGUGUGGUGCAUCGACACUGUGAGCAAUGAAGUACGAGAACUGUACGUCUAUGAAAACCUGGAGCAGCUCGCCCGUGACUACCCCACCAAGGUCCUGCUUUUACCAGAGUCGAUGGGGAGCACCGGGGACACCGUGUACCACGGAUCACUUUACUAUCGACACAGUCUUUUCUUCAUUAAAACUUCUUCACAUGGAUUUUGCCGACUCAUCAUUACAGUGUUCAUGAUCACCUGGGUACAGUGUAGAUCUCUUUUUCUCUCCUUCCAACCGUUUUCUUUCCCUUCACCACAUUCACACCUAAUUCACCUUACCUGUAAACUGGUUCCAGAUUUUGGUCUUCAGCUGCUGUUACAUUAAUAAGUCACAAUAACUCCCAUUGACCUUUUAUAGAGUUUUAGUGUCACUAAACACAAAUGUUCUGUGCUGUGCAGCAUUUGCUCAGGGUUUUAAAUGAUCUGUAAGUUCUAGUUCUGAUCACAUUUCCAUUCUUCUUCUUGACCUGAGUGCAGCUUUUGAUUCUGUAGACCAGGAUGUUCUUCUACACAGACUUGAGCACUGAGUAGGUCUCUCAGGACCAGUACUAAACUGGUUCACAUCAUACUUGUGUGCUAGACAGUUUUAUGGUCAAUUGUGAAGUCACUCAUCAAGACAACAUGAAAUUUCAUUUGGAGUUCCAUAAAGAUCUGUUUUAGGAGCCUUGCUUUUCUCCCUCUACAUGUCUCUUGUUCGACUCAAACACAUGAAAUCAGUUUUUAUAGUUAUGUAGAUGACACACAAGUUUAUAUAUCAGUGUCACUGUGUAAUCAAGAGCUAAUUAACAAACUGAUUACAUGCUUGAAUGAAAUAUCUGACUGGAUGUCACAGAACUUUCUACAGUUAAACCAGGAUAAAAUGGGGAUAUUAAUUGUAGGAGAUAAA